This 716-nucleotide long non-coding RNA is filed under the name Mytilus galloprovincialis (Mediterranean mussel). Lineage: Eukaryota; Metazoa; Mollusca; Bivalvia; Mytilida; Mytilidae. The record is from RNAcentral.
GUAGAUCCCAACAGGUACUUUUAGAACCUGCGUGGUAGAGCCCAGACAAGUAUGAAUUUUGAAAAAUGAGAAUUCCUGCGGUAGAUCCCAACAGGUACUAUUAGAACCUGACUGGUAGAGCCCAGACGGGUAUACAUUUGAAAAAUGAGAAUUCCUGCGGUAGAUCCCAACAGGUACCAAAACUAACUUAAUUAUCACCCUUAAAUAAAACAAAGCCUUAAUAAUUUAUAAGAUGUAUGAAUGAAUUGGGGGAAAAUAAUUUCCCUGAAAUUAAUUAGGCCAAAUUGAACGAGUAGAAUGAGUGAAAGCCCCCAAGAAAUGAUACACGUACAAAUAUAUAUAGUUAAAAUAAAAAAUAAAAAAUAAUUCAAUAUACCAUUUAAAAGAAUAAGUACUUGAAUAUAAUGUCAUGUAUGAAAAUGAAAACAAACAAAAUAAAAUAACUACAAUACUAAAAUAAUGAACAAAAUGUAGUUCUAGGACUCCUUUGAAGUAGAACAAAACAGGUAUAAGAAUUAGGAACGACACAUUCUGCUUUGUGCUUUGCAAACAGUUGUUGGAUCAGUUAGAAUGUAACGUUAUAUCAAUCAAAUGACCAUCUACCUAAAGUCUGAAUAAUGUGAUCCUCAACCCCUGCUGCUCCUGCUGAUGUAGCAGCACCAAUUCGAAAGGAAUGACCACAAAAUUUACUAUCAUUAUACCCUAAUCUGAGCAGC